RNAcentral lists this transfer RNA (51 nucleotides) under Reticulomyxa filosa. It matches the Rfam family "tRNA", at positions 21 to 71 of the family's 71-position model. Rfam says of the family: Transfer RNA (tRNA) molecules are approximately 80 nucleotides in length. Their secondary structure includes four short double-helical elements and three loops (D, anti-codon, and T loops). Further hydrogen bonds mediate the characteristic L-shaped molecular structure. tRNAs have two regions of fundamental functional importance: the anti-codon, which is responsible for specific mRNA codon recognition, and the 3' end, to which the tRNAs corresponding amino acid is attached (by aminoacyl-tRNA synthetases). tRNAs cope with the degeneracy of the genetic code in two manners: having more than one tRNA (with a specific anti-codon) for a particular amino acid; and 'wobble' base-pairing, i.e. permitting non-standard base-pairing at the 3rd anti-codon position. The record is from Rfam by way of RNAcentral. Lineage: Eukaryota; Foraminifera; Reticulomyxidae.
GGACACCGCCCUUUCACGGCGGUAACAGGGGUUCGAAUCCCCUAAGGGACG